GGAGUGAUGCAGCCUGGGAAUUGUAGUCUUCGUUCCCCUAAAGGUUUGGCCAAACACCUGUAGAAACCCUAGAACGUUGAGGUUUCCCAAGCUGGAGUCUCGCGGUCCCGGCUGUCUUCAGGGGGCGUCCCAGACAGCGAGACUGACUUGGUAGCUCUUAAUAAAAAUCAUCUCCUGGAGCAUCUGUUCCAGGUAUUGAUUACCUAUCGAUUGAAGCCCCAAAUCAUUUUCCCAGCUCCUACCUGAGCUUCCCGAACUAAGAAUUAGCAUCAUCAUCGUCAUCGUCCUCAUCGGUUGUUGUGCUGACCAUCUGAUGUGGAUUAUCUUAUUUGAUCCUCGCGGUAACCUUAUGGAACAUGUGUUGUUCGCACCCCCAUUUUAUAGGUAAGCACGGUGACUAUGGCUCCAUUUUCUCAGCUGCGAAGUCAAGGCAGACAACACCAUGGCCUUGCUAAAUCUCCUUGUUGUGGUGAGGAUCAAAGCAAGACAACAGAAGUGCUCGGUGAACUGUGAAAUCCCAGAACAGAUGCCAGAUUGAUGUUGCCGUUAUUUGAGGAGGAAGCCACUGGAGGAUUCAUGCGGCAAGGGUGUGAUCCGAUGAGUGUCUUGAGAAGAUUGCUCCCCGCCUCUGAGUGGAGCAUGCCCUGGAGGAAGGCAAGCGUGCCAACAGGAAGGCCUUUUCAGAAGCCAUGGCAGGCGUCCAGAGAAGAGAUGACGCUGGCCUGGCUGGAUGCUCACGUUGGAAAGCUGCCUGGAGGGAGACUCCAGCACCAUCUCUCCUUCUCAAGGAGCCCGAAUGUCUGAGGCCGAAGCACACCCACACUCAGAGCUCCAUUGCUCACCUCCCACUGACAGCAAUAGCUGUGAGGUUGGCUUGGAAAAUCAGGGUAGUAUACGGAACUCUCUUAGGGACUGUUGUUUUUUCUGUAGCUUCCUUGCAGGCGUAUGAAUUGGAACAAUUAUGUGCUUUCAUGAUUAUUCAUGGAAAAUGGGGGCAAAGAGGAGCUAAGCAGCUUCUUCGAGGAUAUAAGCAACACCAGGGAGGAAGAUAGAUGGAAGGAGCCACUAGGUAUUUUAUAUUCUGUUGACCAGAGGGCCUUGCAGCCAUUCCUUCCAUGGAGCAGGCGACGCGCUGCAGGUUCGGGCAGCCAGGUGGUGAGGACGCAGGGUUGGCUAUCUACUGCAAACAGAACCAUCUGUGUCUGCAUUAGACGGGGACCCACGCAGACGAAAUCAGAGAGAAGGAGCAGUGCCAUUCAUCAUGAAGUGACUUGAUUGACCAACAGAAUUGAUGGUAGAAUUGAUGUCCUGGGAGUUCUGAAGCAAGGUUAUACCCUUGUUGCGCUGGCUCAUAAAAUCCCCAGUCUCCAGAAGUCCUAACCGGUAGUUCCUAAACUUCAGCCACGGGCCUGGCAACGUGGACAAUACAAAGGAAAAUGACCACUGCCUCAGCGACGGACUUCCAUGGCAUUCCUACUGGGGACUGGGGUCCUGCGACUGCCACUGUUUCUACUUCUCAGGCCUCAAGGAAGGGGACACGGCUCACUGCUCUGAGGCUGGGUCCCAAACGGGUGUCAGCUGCUUCCCUCAGCCACGACAGCAACAUUGGAAUCAGGUUCUAUAUCUUAAGGAGAACUUUCUAUAAGUCUGGGAUUAAUGAAGGAAAUUGUGAAAACUGAGAAUCAUUAAAAACUAU
Canis lupus familiaris (dog) is the source of this 1696-nucleotide long non-coding RNA. RefSeq lists it as uncharacterized. NCBI's taxonomy places the organism in Eukaryota, Metazoa, Chordata, Mammalia, Carnivora, Canidae. The record is from RefSeq and is a predicted model, not a curated record. The transcript has 7 exons.